Zonotrichia albicollis (white-throated sparrow) is the source of this 1457-nucleotide RNA transcript. RefSeq lists it as uncharacterized. The record is from RefSeq and is a predicted model, not a curated record. NCBI's taxonomy places the organism in Eukaryota, Metazoa, Chordata, Aves, Passeriformes, Passerellidae.
UUCGCGGAGCGCUGGGGGUGCGGGGGCUGCACGGGGGAUGCAGGCUGCCGAGGACACACAUCACCCUCCGGGGAACCAUUUCGGUCCCAGCGUGGGACUGUGAUGGCCAAUAGGUCCAACAGGUCCCUGUGGUCGUGGAGUCCCAGAAGCAGGGGGCAGCGGGAGCCCUCGGGAGCCCCAGCUAGGGAUGUAACAGCUUCCACUGCCAUGCUGCCUGAGGCAACUGCACAGGACCUACCAUCCAAAACUGGCUCUUACCAAAACAUGGGGAGCUCCUGAGGACCCCAUCACCUCCUCUCAGUGGGCUUGGUUCCUCAGCACCUGAAUCAGCUUGUCCCAGGCUUUUUGGAUGGCAACCAGAUUUCAGCUGAUUUCAACCUCUCCCGCUGAGUCACCACGAGUUCUGCAUCCAGGCUGCAUUCAUUCGCCUUUUCACCUCAAAGAGAGGAAAAGCCCAUGAUGUCAGGGAGCUCAGGGACUCUUAAAUCCCUCAAGCAGGAGCCAGCCCCUCACCCAGCCCUUCAAUGGGAUCAGAUCUUCCCUACUUUCAGUGCUGCUUUUCCCCCCUCUUCUGUGGGUCCAGCAGCCAAGGGGUUUUCUGUGAACUGGUCAGGGAUGAGAGUGUUGGCUCUGAUCUUCCUGGCAUUGCAUACAUUUAAACCUCAUCCUUCUCCUUCAGUUGCCAGGGGUUUCUAUGGGAAUAAAUUCUUUUUCAUGCUUGGGAUUUAUCUUUUCCGCAGCAGUCAUACCUUCAAGGGGCAGAGGGGGCCAGAACUGCUGAACCCAUGGAAGUGGCAAGAGGGAAGUGGCAGGAUUAGAGGCCCUGGGACUUUUCAUUUUACCUGUCUCUGAAAAGACUCCAUGAAAAAGGCAGGGACCAUAAAACUCCAACACAAAUGCUCCAGCAUGACCCUGCUCCUCCCCAAAGUUCCUGUUGUGAUGGUGCCAUCUCGACCUGGCAGAGGUGAGCUGGGACCCCAACCCUGCUGCAGGCAGCUCUGCACCCCUUGGCCACCCUUCCCACGGUGUCACCCAGUGCUGGCAGUGCCACCAGGACCCCUCCUGAGGUGUGCAGCUGGUGGUGGACAGAGCACAGAGCUGCCAUCAGCAGAGAGGAACCUAGAGGUGACCAGCUGGGAAGCAGAGGCCUGAAUCCAAGCCCCGAGGCACAGGGCAGGGUUUGACACCCAUCCCCAGCUCCAGGCUGAGGCUGUGCUGCACACAGGGCUGGUCUGGGCCAGGAGGAGAAGCAGCCUGGGGCAGACGUGCUGGCUGCCCAGGCUGGCUGUGCAGGACCAGCAGGAUCAAUGUGCUGUAUUGAAGGGCUCCAUGGGCAUCGGGUACCACCCCAGGCACAGGCAGGCCAGUGACGAUGUGCAGAGGAGUCACAGCUAAAUUUAGCCUCAUUUGUGCGUGAGUGUGAUGUGUUUAUUCUUGCCCUUAAAUAAAAACGUUGU